This 498-nucleotide ribosomal RNA is filed under the name uncultured bacterium. RNAcentral's name for it is "partial 16S ribosomal RNA". It matches the Rfam family "Bacterial small subunit ribosomal RNA", at positions 28 to 523 of the family's 1533-position model. The record is from RNAcentral.
GAUGAAUGCUGGCGGCAUGCCUUACACAUGCAAGUCGAACGGUAACAGGUCUUCGGAUGCUGACGAGUGGCGAACGGGUGAGUAAUACAUCGGAACGUGCCCGGUCGUGGGGGAUAACGAAGCGAAAGCUUUGCUAAUACCGCAUAAGAUCUAAGGAUGAAAGCAGGGGACCGCAAGGCCUUGCGCGAACGGAGCGGCCGAUGGCAGAUUAGGUAGUUGGUGGGAUAAAAGCUUACCAAGCCGACGAUCUGUAGCUGGUCUGAGAGGACGACCAGCCACACUGGGACUGAGACACGGCCCAGACUCCUACGGGAGGCAGCAGUGGGGAAUUUUGGACAAUGGGCGAAAGCCUGAUCCAGCCAUGCCGCGUGCAGGAUGAAGGCCUUCGGGUUGUAAACUGCUUUUGUACGGAACGAAAAGACUCUUUCUAAUAAAGAGGGUCCAUGACGGUACCGUAAGAAUAAGCACCGGCUAACUACGUGCCAGCAGCCGCGGUAA